Molecule: non-coding RNA, 29 nt
Filed under: Rattus norvegicus (Norway rat)
Lineage: Eukaryota; Metazoa; Chordata; Mammalia; Rodentia; Muridae
Source: RNAcentral
UGGAACAUGAGCUAACGCCUCUGAGACCA